AUCGCCCCGCCGCUGGCCGUGAGGAAACCCGAACAACGGAUGGCGUCGAGCUCGCUCAGCCUUCCGUCAGGAAUGGACCCAUUAGCCUCUAAUCCGCCGCAGAGGCCGCUCGUCCCCCUCGACCCAGGCGGGAGGCCUCCUUCCGUUUACUACGCACCUUACUGCGCCUGCGCGGAAAGCGCCCCCGGCCUCCGCGACGGCAGGAAGGCUCGGCGCGUGCGCAGAGAAGCCGGGAGAGGAAACUGGGCCUUGUGCGCAUGCGCCAGAUGGAGAGCGCCCCGAUUGAAAGUGCGAGGAAGAGGCUGUUUCAGUGGAUAUCGGCGACUCCAAGGAUGUGUGCAGGAGGAGCCCAAAUGGGAAGAAACCCCUUGACCCCCAGAGAGACGCUGACUCGGACCGUCCCUGAGCUUAGACCAUGAAACCUACAAGAGCGACACCUUGGGGGACUCUGGAUACCUCAAGGAGGUCAGAUCAGCGAAGGAAAGUGGGAAAAAGAAUCCCCAGCGGGGGUCAUCUGCUCGGAGCCGCACCCCCGUCAAGGAGACUCCUGGUACCCCAUCAGAGCCCCACGAGACUUACUUGUGUGGCGGCGGCAAGGACAUGCCCCUGGGCGACCAUCAGAGCCCUGCACGACCCCCUCACGCCUCACUCAGUUCCCCUGUCUCCGCCUGCCCAGUGGCCUCGGUUCUGCUUGCGCCCCUCUGCUGGUACUGGUGCUUGGUUGCACUGGUGGCGGUGCUUUUUUGAAAACCCGGUGGCUGCUGGUGCUGGGGUAGUGGCAGGGGAAGUAGUGGUGUUUCCUCGUCCUCAAAUCCACCGCCUCACCCGCAUGCUGAGCAGCCUCCUCUCUGAUUGUGCCGUGCUGGGUUCCAGUGGUGGCGCAGGUGGCGGUGCUUUUUGGAAAACCCGGUGGCUGCUGGUGCUGGGGUAGUGGCAGGGGAAGUAGUGGUGUUUCCUCGUCCUCAAAGUGCCUCUGGGUGCAUGCAGCUGCUGUGUUGGCGAAUCCACUGCCUCAACUGCGUGCAGAGCAGCCUCCUCUCUGCUUGCGCCCUGCUGCUGCUGGUUCUGGGUUCCAGUGGUGGCGCAGGUGGUGGCACUUUUUAAAGGCCUUUUGGACACAGGCGAUGAGGGAACGCAGGCCAAGGCACGAGGGGGUCUUGGGACUCCUUUUCCCGCUUUCCAUUUCUAGCCUGACAAUUCACCUCCAGAUUCUGGGAAACUGCCAUGAUCAUUAAUCAGUCUAUCGAUUAAUUUAAUCUGUAUGCCGUCCUUCCUCUGAAGCUCUCAGGGAGGCUUGCAGCAUAAAAAGACAAAAUAAAAAAACAGCAUACACAUUAAAAACAAAAACGAACUCAUAAGCCAACCUCCCAAUCCACAAGCAUGUUUAAAAGGCCAUGCAUUCUUUAAUUAGCCAAAGGCCUGGUUCUAGAGCAGAAAGGCCACUACCAUUGUGCUACAAGCCCUGCUGGGCACCUCUCAGAAUCUGAACCCACCCCGCACCCUACCUGCUUCGCAUCUCCAGCAGCCUCCAGGCUGUCAGAACAAACAUUGCUGGCUCCCGCCUCCUUUCUGGGCUGGGCAGAGAGUGCUGGUCCUGCUCAUCUGACCUUCAAAGAUGUUUCUUCUUUUUUUUGCACUUCCAUGCCAUGAUAGGCGAGAGAGGGCUGCUGUGGGGUCGCCGGCCCGCAGGAGAGGUACUCCUCCUUGUUCACCUGGAAACGCAUGCAAACAGAUAACUUACAAGAUAAAUACUGAACCAAAAGCAACCACCCCCUAGCUAGGGCCCUGCCUGGACCACAGAGAAACCCUCUCCAUAAAACUAUAGGGAUCUCUAAAUCAGGCCUUCCUCCUCCACCCCCCAGAUCACUGGGAAACACUUCCCCUGCCACACAAGGUCACAACAUACCUCCGGAUUUUCCUGGGUUUCCCUGCACCGCUGGGCUGCUGCUGGUUCCCCAAACCAUGGCCCUGCAAAGGAAGAAGGACAUUGUACUCUCUAGGGGGGCAGAACAAGCACCCCUGCCAGGCUGCCCAUGCCCACGUCACCACAGGCUGCCAACCUGCUCCUGCCUGGGUGCCUGACCCCUGGCUUGGAAGGAGGGGAGCGAGGGGCUGGGGCGAGACGGGACUGCAACCCCCCAACCCAGCCCUGUUUCAUGCAGGUCAGCGCCAUGACCUCCCUGUAAAUGUGGGGAAUGGAUUCCCCAUGGAAUUAACUUACCACAAUCGCCAAUGUUUCUUUCAGUGGCACACCAGCCUCCUUCAUCGUUUGGCGUCUCAGGAGCCUUUUUUGUCCUAGGAGACAGAAAGGAAAAUAAAAAACAGAGGAAGAGGUGGGAAAUGUCCGGGAAUUCCAAAGUCUAAACUCAGAGACCUAGACUCAGGAUCCAGCCUGCACCUCAGCCUUUCCCUGUUCCCUCCAUGUGCCCUAUUAAAGAUUGUAAGCCCCUCGGGGCAGGGACCUUUCGAUGAAGGGUCAUGUGCAGCGAUUGCGCAAAGAAAUAAUUAGGAAGUAAUUUCACCAGGCUCCUCCCCAUGCAAGCUGAAGCCUGCUAGGCGCCUUUCCUGAAUACUCCAAAGCCAAGCCCUGGCUCCAUGGCUCACCUGAAUUAAUGGAAUCCUCUUGCUUCCAAGUUUGGAGAGAGCCCCUUCUUUCGGCAUUGAACGGCCACAUGCUCGGAGCGAUGGUGGCUGUAUCCAGCUCAGCUUCAGCCCCUCCCCUCGUGCCCCCUUCUAGAACCCACCGCUCUCCACCGACUCACCUGCCCCCCCCCCUCAAACUCCCUUUCCCCAUGCAAUUAACUUACCACAAUCUCCAAUGUUUCUUUCAGUGGCACACCAGCCUCCUUCAUGGUUUGCCGUCUCAGCAGCCUUUUAUGUCCUAGGAGACAGAAAGGAAAAUAAAAAAGGAAGAGGUUACAUGGCUCCAUGGCUCACCUGAAUAAAGGGAAUCCUCCUGCUGCCAAGUUGCACAUGCUCAGAGCCAUGGCGGCUGUGCUGCUGCUUUUAAGUCCAGCUCAGCUUCAGCCCCCCCCCUCGGGCCCCCUUCUAGAACCCACCGCUCUCAACCAACUCUCACCUGACCUCCUUCAAACUCCCUUUCCAAGCCUCCUUCCAUCUUCCGUCUCCACCAGAACUCCACUUUCUCUUCCCCCUCCCUCCCUGCUUGACAUUCCCUUUGGAAAUGUAUUAGCAUCACCUCACAAUAAUAAUAUUGCCACUCACUCAUCUCCUCUAGGACUCCUACCUGGAGAAUCCAUCUUUCUCUACCAACUCUCACUGUCAUCUGACAGGCAUCCCCCCUUGCAGGGCAUUAUAAGGCUUGCUUGCAAAACAGCACUUUGUGACAUCAGCUGGCAAACAGGGGCCAGGCUGCUGGGUUGUCCGGCAGCUGAAUGAAGAAAAAUAAAACCAGACUUGCGGAGGCGAGGGAGGGCUGCUGUGGGGUCCCUGGCCCGCAGGAGAGGUACUCCUCCUUGUUCACCUGGAAACGCAUGCAAACAGAUAACUUACAAGAUAAAUACUGAACCAAAAGCAACCACCCCCUAGCUAGGGCCCUGCCUGGACCACAGAGAAACCCUCUCCAUAAAACUAUAGGGAUCUCUAAAUCAGGCCUUCCUCCUCCACCCCCCAGAUCACUGGGAAACACUUCCCCUGCCACACAAGGUCACAACAUACCUCCGGAUUUUCCUGGGUUUCCCUGCACCGCUGGGCUGCUGCUGGUUCCCCAAACCACGGCCCUGCAAAGGAAGAAGGACAUUGUACUCUCUAGGGGGGCAGAACAAGCACCCCUGCCAGGCUGCCCAUGCCCACGUCACCACAGGCUGCCAACCUGCUCCUGCCUGGGUGCCUGACCCCUGGCUUGGAAGGAGGGGAGCGAGGGGCUGGGGCGAGACGGGACUGCAACCCCCCAACCCAGCCCUGUUUCAUGCAGGUCAGCGCCAUGACCUCCCUGUAAAUGUGGGGAAUGGAUUCCCCAUGGAAUUAACUUACCACAAUCGCCAAUGUUUCUUUCAGUGGCACACCAGCCUCCUUCAUCGUUUGGCGUCUCAGGAGCCUUUUUUGUCCUAGGAGACAGAAAGGAAAAUAAAAAACAGAGGAAGAGGUGGGAAAUGUCCGGGAAUUCCAAAGUCUAAACUCAGAGACCUAGACUCAGGAUCCAGCCUGCACCUCAGCCUUUCCCUGUUCCCUCCAUGGGCCCUAUUAAAGAUUGUAAGCCCCUCGGGGCAGGGACCUUUCGAUGAAGGGUCAUGUGCAGCGAUGGCACAAAGAAAUAAUUCGGAAGUAAUUUCACCAGGCUCCUCCCCAUGCAAGCUGAAGCCUGCUAGGCGCCUUUCCUGAAUACUCCAAAGCCAAGCCCUGGUUCCAUGGCUCACCUGAAUUAAUGGAAUCCUCUUGCUUCCAAGUUUGGAGAGAGCCCCUUCUUUCGGCAUUGAACGGCCACAUGCUCAGAGUGAUGGUGGCUGUAUCCAGCUCAGCUUCAGCCCCUCCCCUCGUGCCCCCUUCUAGAACCCACCGCUCUCCACCGACUCACCUGCCCCCCCCCUCAAACUCCCUUUCCCCAUGCAAUUAACUUACCACAAUCUCCAAUGUUUCUUUCAGUGGCACACCAGCCUCCUUCAUGGUUUGCCGUCUCAGCAGCCUUUUAUGUCCUAGGAGACAGAAAGGAAAAUAAAAAAGGAAGAGGUUACAUGGCUCCAUGGCUCACCUGAAUAAAGGGAAUCCUCCUGCUGCCAAGUUGCACAUGCUCAGAGCCAUGGCGGCUGUGCUGCUGCUUUUAAGUCCAGCUCAGCUUCAGCCCCCCCCCCUCGGGCCCCCUUCUAGAACCCACCGCUCUCAACCAACUCUCACCUGACCUCCUUCAAACUCCCUUUCCAAGCCUCCCUCCAUCUUCCAUCUCCACCAGAAUUCCACUCUCUCUGUCCCCCCUCCCUCCCUGCUUGACAUUCCCUUUGGAAUUGUAAUAGCAUCACCUCACAAUAAUACUAUUGCCACUCAUCUCCUCUAGGCCUCCUACCUGGAGAAUCCAUCUUUCUCUACCAACUCUCACUGUCAUCUGACAGGCAUCCCCCCUUGCAGGGCAUUAUAAGGCUUGCUUGCAAAGCAGCACUUUGUGACAUCAGCUGGCAAACGGGCCAGGCUGCUGGGUUGUCCGGCAGCUGAAUGAAGAAAAAUAAAACCAGACUUGCAGAGGCGAGGGAGGGCUGCUGUGGGGUCCCUGGCCCGCAGGAGGGGUACUCCUGUUCAGCAGGAAACGCAUGCAAACAGAUAACUUUCAAGAUAAAUACUGAACCAAAAGCAACCUAAGAGAAUGGUUUUUUUUAAUGACUGGAUAAACCACUCAUUCAAUUGUAUCACCACUUGACUGAAUUUGUGUUUACCUCCUGCCCUUCCAAGCCACUACAAUGGCCCUACGAGCCCUGCUGGGCACCUCUCAGAAUCCGAACUCACCCCGCACCCUUCCUGCUUCCUUCUCCAUCAUCCUUCUUGCUGUUGCAGCACACAUUCAGGGCUCCUGCCUCCUCCUAGACUACAUUCAGAGAUGAAAAAGCAACAGAGCGUAAGAUCCUCAUUUUGCUGCAAAAUAACUGUUUAUGAAUACAGAUUCAAGUCCCAGAAUGUGCCUUCAAAAACAAAUAGCUUUUUCCUUUGGAAAUAAAAACAAAACAAAACUACACAAUAUUUUAAGAAAGGAAGAGGAUUCACUCCAGGCUCACAGGCUCCACUGAGAGGCCCUAUUUCACGGAUACUUUUGUGGAGAUUCCUGCAUUGCAGGGGGGUUGGACUAGUUGACCCUUCCAAUUCUAUGAUUCUGUGUAGUUCCCGCUACAUAUAAAAUGGUUUGGUAUUUUUACAGGGGAAAUCGGAUCAGUUGUAGAAGGGUUAGGCCAGAGACCGAGGGCCCAAACUGCAACCCAAAACCCACUUAUUUCUCGCAAAGUACCAACAUGGCAGUUUAACCUGUAUAUCAGUUUUUCUGUGUGUUUCACGCUUCUUCUGUAUGACUGCUGUUGUGAUAAAUAAUCCUUCAUAAGAGUUAUUGCCUUACAUUCUUCAUUAAAAUUAUCUUGCCAUUGAUAUAUAAUUUUAUGGUAUAAGGCAGUGCUUUUUUUCUAAAAAAAUGUUUAGGGGUACUCUCAUUUUGACACAAGAAAAAAAGCGGAAUACAAAAAUAACAAUACGUUAUAUUAAAAUGAUCACAUGCCAGGGACUGUGCUGAGGAGGGCUGCACUCAGGAGGAAUUGCGGGAACAGAGUAGAGGGUUGGAACAGCGGUUUGCAGAGGGACAUAGUUCAGAAGGCAGAAGUUGGGAAAUACUAGAUGGGGAACAGCUAGGAGAAGAAACACUGGCAGGGAGAGGGUUAACAGAUUCACAGUCUCUAGACAGCAUUCUUCCACUGCCCUCCCCAAAGUCUCAGAUUAGGAGACAUAGAAGCGACCUAGGUUCAUCGGACCAAAGGGGGUGGGCUCUGUAAUUACUAGGAGAUGUGUUAUUUGUUCUCUCACUGUGAUUAUUAAAGUUUCUAAGUGGUAA
This is a non-coding RNA of Podarcis muralis (Common wall lizard), 6535 nucleotides long. The record is from RefSeq and is a predicted model, not a curated record. NCBI's taxonomy places the organism in Eukaryota, Metazoa, Chordata, Lepidosauria, Squamata, Lacertidae.